UGAACGACUCUCGGCAACGGAUAUCUUGGCUCUCGCAUCGAUGAAGAACGUAGCGAAAUGCGAUACUUGGUGUGAAUUGCAGARUCCCGUGAACCAUCGAGUCUUUGAACGCAAGUUGCGCCCGAGGCUUUUGGCCGAGGGCACGUCUGCCUGGGCGUCACGC
This 163-nucleotide ribosomal RNA is filed under the name Cherleria sedoides. Its description in RNAcentral is "5.8S ribosomal RNA". It matches the Rfam family "5.8S ribosomal RNA". Rfam says of the family: 5.8S ribosomal RNA (5.8S rRNA) is a component of the large subunit of the eukaryotic ribosome. The record is from RNAcentral. Lineage: Eukaryota; Viridiplantae; Streptophyta; Magnoliopsida; Caryophyllales; Caryophyllaceae.